Molecule: ribosomal RNA, 301 nt
Filed under: uncultured bacterium
Lineage: Bacteria
Description: partial 16S ribosomal RNA
Rfam family: Bacterial small subunit ribosomal RNA
Source: RNAcentral
CAGCAGCCACGGUAAGACAGAGGAUGCAAGCGUUAUCCGGAAUGAUUGGGCGUAAAGCGUCUGUAGGUGGCUUUUCAAGUCCGCCGUCAAAUCCCAGGGCUCAACCCUGGACAGGCGGUGGAAACUACCAAGCUGGAGUACGGUAGGGGCAGAGGGAAUUUCCAGUGGAGCGGUGAAAUGCGUUGAGAUCGGAAAGAACACCAACGGCGAAAGCACUCCGCUGGGCCGACACUGACACUGAGAGACGAAAGCCAGGGGAGCAAAUGGGAUUAGAUACCCCCGUAGUCCCUGUCUCUUAUAC